UGGGGAAUCUUGGACAAUGGGCGCAAGCCUGAUCCAGCCAUGCCGCGUGGAUGAUGAAGGCCUUAGGGUUGUAAAAUCCUUUCGCCGAGGACGAUAAUGACGGUACUCGGAGAAGAAGCUCCGGCUAACUUCGUGCCAGCAGCCGCGGUAAUACGAAGGGGGCUAGCGUUGUUCGGAUUUACUGGGCGUAAAGCGCGUGUAGGCGGGUUGGAAAGUUGGGGGUGAAAUCCCGAGGCUCAACCUCGGAACUGCCUCCAAAACUGGCGACCUGGACCUAAGUAGAGGCAAGUGGAAUUGCGAGUGUAGAGGUGAAAUUCGUAGAUAUUCGCAGGAACACCAGUGGCGAAGGCGACUUGCUGGACUUAUGGUGACGCUGAGACGCGAAAGCGUGGGGAGCAAACAGGAUUAGAUACCCCCGUAGUCCCUGAGCGGGCUGGCAAGGCGCAU
Molecule: ribosomal RNA, 447 nt
Filed under: uncultured bacterium
Lineage: Bacteria
Description: bacterial SSU rRNA
Rfam family: Bacterial small subunit ribosomal RNA
Source: RNAcentral